Otolemur garnettii (small-eared galago) is the source of this 100-nucleotide small nuclear RNA. Lineage: Eukaryota; Metazoa; Chordata; Mammalia; Primates; Galagidae. The record is from Ensembl.
UUGCCCUGGCAGCACGUACAAUGAAACUGGGAUAGAAAGAAGAUCAGCAUGGCCCCUGUGCAAGGGUGACAGGAAAACUGGUGAAGUGUUCCAUGUUUUG